UAACCUGCCCAAGAGAUCGGGAUAACACCUGGAAACAGAUGCUAAUACCGGAUAACAACAGAUGAUGCCUAUCAACNGUUUAAAAGAUGGUUCUGCUAUCACUCUUGGAUGGACCUGCGGUGCAUUAGCUAGUUGGUAGGGUAACGGCCUACCAAGGCGAUGAUGCAUAGCCGAGUUGAGAGACUGAUCGGCCACAUUGGGACUGAGACACGGCCCAAACUCCGUACGGGAGGCAGCAGGC
RNAcentral lists this ribosomal RNA (241 nucleotides) under uncultured Lactobacillus sp. RNAcentral's name for it is "partial 16S ribosomal RNA". It matches the Rfam family "Bacterial small subunit ribosomal RNA", at positions 122 to 354 of the family's 1533-position model. Lineage: Bacteria; Bacillati; Bacillota; Bacilli; Lactobacillales; Lactobacillaceae. The record is from RNAcentral.